GAUGAACGCUGGCGGUAUGCCUAACACAUGCAAGUCGUACGAGAGUUUUUAACUCUAGUGGCGGACGGGUGAGUAACACGUGAGAAUUUGCCUUUAGGAGGGGGACAACAAUCGGAAACGGUUGCUAAUACCCAUAUGCUUUCGAGUGAAAUGGAUUUUUCCGUCCUAAAGAGAAGCUUGCGGCUGAUUAGCUUGUUGGUGAGGUAAUGGCUCACCAAGGCGACGACGGGUAGCCGGCCUGAGAGGGCGACCGGCCACACUGGGACUGAGACACGGCCCAGACUCCUACGGGAGGCAGCAGUGGGGGAAUAUUGGGCAAUGGAGGAAACUCUGACCCAGCGACGCCGCGUGAAGGGGAUGAAAGGGCCUUCGGGUUGUAAACCUACUUUCAGUAGGGAAGAAGCGAAAGUGACGGUACCUACAGAAGAAGCACCGGCUAACUAAUGUG
This 448-nucleotide ribosomal RNA is filed under the name uncultured bacterium. Its description in RNAcentral is "bacterial SSU rRNA". It matches the Rfam family "Bacterial small subunit ribosomal RNA", at positions 28 to 507 of the family's 1533-position model. The record is from RNAcentral.